RNAcentral lists this ribosomal RNA (253 nucleotides) under uncultured bacterium. RNAcentral describes it as "partial 16S ribosomal RNA". It matches the Rfam family "Bacterial small subunit ribosomal RNA", at positions 524 to 776 of the family's 1533-position model. The record is from RNAcentral.
UACGUAGGGUGCGAGCGUUAAUCGGAAUUACUGGGCGUAAAGCGUGCGCAGGCGGUUUUGUAAGCCAGAUGUGAAAGCCCUGGGCUUAACCUGGGAAUGGCAUUUGGGACUGCAAGGCUUGAGUGCGGCAGAGGAGACUGGAAUUCCUGGUGUAGCAGUGAAAUGCGUAGAUAUCAGGAGGAAUACCGAUGGCGAAGGCAGGUCUCUGGGCUGACACUGACGCUCAUGCACGAAAGCGUGGGGAGCAAACAGG